UGAUCAUCCAAAACAUUAAAACCACUGACAGGUGACAUGAAUAACACUGAUCAUAUCGUUGCAAUGACACCUGUGGUAUACAUCAGACCGCAAGUGAGCAGUCUAUUCUUGAAUUGUAUGUGUUGAAAUGAGGGAAAAUGGGCAAGCGAAAAGAUCUGAGUGUCUUUGACAAGGGCUAAAAGUGAUGGCUAGAUGACUGUGUUGUGGGUAUGUAGGGGUGUUUCUAGUAUGCUAUUGUGGUGCAAGGAAGGACAACUCUGGUAAACCGACUAAUUGAUGCACAUGAGAAACGAAAGCUAGCCUAUCUGGUCUGAUGUUAACAGCUACGGUAGCUGGAAUUGCUGUAAAUAUAAUGCUGGCCAUGAUGGAAAAAUGUCAGCGCACACAGUGCAUCAGAGUUUGCUGAGCAUGUUGAACGUGCGCGUCAACGCUGGACCAUGGAGCAAUAGAAGAAGAUUGCUUGGUAUGACGAAUCAGGUCUUCCUUUAGAUCAGGUGGAUGGACAUGUGUGCCAUUUACCUGAGAAAGAGGUGACGACAAGAUGCAUUAUGGGACACAAGGAGGACCUGUAUGAUUUUAGGCAGGUAGUUUUAAUGUGGCUGAUCAGUGUAGUCUGUCUGUAGCAUUUAAUUCAUAACAAAGUGCCUUAAGGUUAAAUUCAGUGUUCAGAAACAAAUGACCGAUUUUUGAAAUUCUGUAUCAAAGAUAGACUACCCUGCUCAAUACAAUAUGGGUUUGUUUUUGGUUUUUUCCUUACAACUAAAUAUGGGAAAGUUAAUUUUUUGCAGCGCUCACCAUAAAAUUUCCUUCUUUGGUGACAUAUUGCUGUGGCAUUUCUUGCUGAUUUCUUUCUGGGUAAUUAUUAAAUAUUAUACAUGUAAGAGCAUUAUGGGAGAUGUAACCCACAAUAUCAUGAGUGCUGAAGUUUGCCUACCUCCAUGCGAGUGGGAGAGUGGAAGCAAUUCGUAUUCAAUUUGUUUGUAUUCUCCGUUUGUUUAAAUAAUGUAUUCACGUUUUAUCUGCUUUAUUUGACAGUGUGUUCUACAGAUACUUCAUUCGGAUGGGUGAAAGCAUACGAACGACAUUCGUGUAUUUAU
Molecule: non-coding RNA, 1097 nt
Organism: Pelobates cultripes (western spadefoot toad)
Lineage: Eukaryota; Metazoa; Chordata; Amphibia; Anura; Pelobatidae
Source: the annotation of a GenBank genome assembly